This 483-nucleotide ribosomal RNA is filed under the name uncultured bacterium. Its description in RNAcentral is "partial 16S ribosomal RNA". It matches the Rfam family "Bacterial small subunit ribosomal RNA", at positions 29 to 507 of the family's 1533-position model. The record is from RNAcentral.
AUUGAACGCUGGCGGCAUGCUUUACACAUGCAAGUCGAACGGCAGCGCGGGCUUCGGCCUGGCGGCGAGUGGCGAACGGGUGAGUAAUACAUCGGAACGUGCCCAGUAGUGGGGGAUAGCUCGGCGAAAGCCGGAUUAAUACCGCAUACGACCUGAGGGUGAAGCGGGGGAUCUUCGGACCUCGCGCUAUUGGAGCGGCCGAUGGCAGAUUAGCUAGUUGGUGGGGUAAAGGCCUACCAAGGCGACGAUCUGUAGCUGGUCUGAGAGGACGACCAGCCACACUGGGACUGAGACACGGCCCAGACUCCUACGGGAGGCAGCAGUGGGGAAUUUUGGACAAUGGGCGAAAGCCUGAUCCAGCAAUGCCGCGUGUGUGAUGAAGGCCUUCGGGUUGUAAAGCACUUUUGGCGGGAACGAAAAGGACUGUGCCAAUACCACGGUUCGAUGACGGUACCCGCAGAAUAAGCACCGGCUAACUACGUG